CCAGACAGCCAGGAUGUUGGCUUAGAAGCAGCCAUCAUUUAAAGAAAGCGUAAUAGCUCACUGGUCGAGUCGGCCUGCGCGGAAGAUGUAACGGGGCUAAACCAUGCACCGAAGCUGCGGCAGCGACGCUUAUGCGUUGUUGGGUAGGGGAGCGUUCUGUAAGCCGUUGAAGGUGGCCUGUGAGGGCUGCUGGAGGUAUCAGAAGUGCGAAUGCUGACAUAAGUAACGAUAAAGCGGGUGAAAAGCCCGCUCGCCGGAAGACCAAGGGUUCCUGUCCAACGUUAAUCGGGGCAGGGUGAGUCGACCCCUAAGGC
Molecule: ribosomal RNA, 314 nt
Filed under: Enterobacter cloacae
Lineage: Bacteria; Pseudomonadati; Pseudomonadota; Gammaproteobacteria; Enterobacterales; Enterobacteriaceae
Description: bacterial LSU rRNA
Rfam family: Bacterial large subunit ribosomal RNA
Source: RNAcentral